This 1359-nucleotide long non-coding RNA is filed under the name Macaca fascicularis (crab-eating macaque). RNAcentral's name for it is "lncRNA (ENSMFAG00000047393.1)". Lineage: Eukaryota; Metazoa; Chordata; Mammalia; Primates; Cercopithecidae. The record is from RNAcentral.
UUUUUUUUUUUUUUGAGACGGAGUCUGGCUCUGUCGCCCAGGCUGGAGUGCAGUGGCCGGAUCUCAGCUCACUGCAAGCUCCGCCUCCCGGGUUCACGCCAUUCUCCGGCCUCAGCCUCCCGAGUAGCUGGGACUACAGGCGCCCGCCACCUCGCCUGGCUAGUUUUUUGUAUUUCUUAAUAGAGACGGGGUUUCACCGUGUUAGCCAGGAUGGUUUCGAUCUCCUGACCUCGUGAUCCGCCUGUCUCGGCCUCCCAAAGUGCUGGGAUUACAGGCUUGAGCCACCGCACCCGGCCGUCUUUAAAUUUGUUUAUUGUUAUGACGCACACAGGAUGCACAAAGCAGACCUGAAAUUCUCCCUAGAAAGGGAAGCUUCUACAGUCAGUCCUUGGCUGGCUCCUGGGAAUGUGGAUUUGGGGGCUAUUCCCUGACAACAGGGGCUUCCUGUGCUUAAACUGUGCAAACACGUGGUUCAUACCCACACCUGCCGUCCUGCUGGGAGCCCGGAAUUCGGGUAAGUGCCAGGCAGGGGUGCCUCUGUGGGCAAAGCACAACCCUGGGCACCGCGUCUCUCACAAGCUUCCUGCUGGAUGACACGCAUGGUCACAGCCUGAUGCUGAAGGAACCAAGCCCUUCCUGGGACUCCAUGGGGAGCAGCUCUGGAAGCUUCUGCCCGGUUUCCCUGGACCUCCGUCCUCGGCCUUCUCCCUCUACUAACCACGCUCCACGUGCUUUCUCUGUCACAAAUCAUGGCCGUCCUGUUGGGCACGAGCCCCAGGAGUCCUCCCAGUGAAUGGCGGAGUGGGGGUGCUCCUGGGGACCCCAAUGCUAGUUAUAGACAUGGGGUGGAAGGGAGUUAUUAAAACUGCUACCCAGGUUUCAAAGACAUUUCCAUUUUAAAGGCGCUUCUUAGUAAAGGGAAAGAUUUCAAUAGUGAGGAAAUGGAAGAAAAUAUUCCAGACACCACAGAGAGCACAGCCACAUGGCAGAGCCUUCUGUGUCCCACAGAGGAAGCAGAGGCGGGUGGUGGCGAGCACAGCCCAGCGGCUCACACCCCACCCAGGCUCUGCUCUUUCUGACCUUCUUCCCUGGGGCAGUUUCCUCCAGGGACUUGCUGCUUCUCGGCCGGACGGAUCCCGGGCACACCGGGGCCCCAUCCUGCACUGGCGGCAGCCUCUCCUGUUCUCAGGGCCCCACUGUGAACACUGGACUCCGUUCUCAAGGCCAGCAUGAUGGUAACUGGGUGGAUGGUGGCAGCAAAUGAACACUGCCCAGCAGGAUUUGCCUUUCCUUGGAGCUCAGCAGGGGGGCUCACAAACUCCCCCAGCUUCCUUUCCCCACCCACGCUGCCCAGAACCU